This 456-nucleotide ribosomal RNA is filed under the name uncultured Streptococcus sp. RNAcentral describes it as "bacterial SSU rRNA". It matches the Rfam family "Bacterial small subunit ribosomal RNA", at positions 925 to 1382 of the family's 1533-position model. The record is from RNAcentral. Lineage: Bacteria; Bacillati; Bacillota; Bacilli; Lactobacillales; Streptococcaceae.
ACAAGCGUGGAGCAUGUGGUUUAAUUCGAAGCAACGCGAAGAACCUUACCAGGUCUUGACAUCCCGAUGCUAUUUCUAGAGAUAGAAAGUUACUUCGGUACAUCGGUGACAGGUGGUGCAUGGUUGUCGUCAGCUCGUGUCGUGAGAUGUUGGGUUAAGUCCCGCAACGAGCGCAACCCCUAUUGUUAGUUGCCAUCAUUCAGUUGGGCACUCUAGCGAGACUGCCGGUAAUAAACCGGAGGAAGGUGGGGAUGACGUCAAAUCAUCAUGCCCCUUAUGACCUGGGCUACACACGUGCUACAAUGGUUGGUACAACGAGUUGCGAGUCGGUGACGGCGAGCUAAUCUCUUAAAGCCAAUCUCAGUUCGGAUUGUAGGCUGCAACUCGCCUACAUGAAGUCGGAAUCGCUAGUAAUCGCGGAUCAGCACGCCGCGGUCGAAUACGUUCCCGGGCCUU